CUGGCAGUCAAAAAGAAGGCUCACCGGCUCAGGCUGGGGAGCAGGAAACUGACUGAAGCCUCGUCCAAUCAGGAGUCUUGCUGAGUAUUGUCCAAUCCAGAGCGCAGCCAGCGAGGAGGGGGCGGGCUUCUGCGCUUCCGGUACAGGCUUUUCCUCCGGAGUCCGCCAUUCCUGCAGUUCAGCUCCAGAUUUUGGUCCGGUACUUAGGAUCUCGGGUUGUUCUGCGGCGCAGGUGCUGAAGGUCCCCAGGGAGCAUGUCUGACUGCUGAGCACCAGAAAAUGGUUUCUCGUCUUUAUUUUUGGAGGUUAUUUCAGAUGGAAUUCUAGGGCUUUUCUUUGGAAAUUCUAACAAGAAAAAGAAAUAAGGCAAAUCUCUCUUCCCUAUGACUGCAGAAAAAUGAAUAUAUUUUCUCAAAAACACCUGAGCAUUGGCACUAAUUGUGGUCUCACUGCCUCCUGGUCUUCUCUGAGGUGGUACUGGGACAAAGUUGGGACAGGUGUGAAAACUGGGUCCCAAUGUCCAGACUGAAAGGUCCUGUACUUCAGAGUGUGGUGGCAGCUGGAGGGACCUUUCCCAGUGAUAAAGGCAGCAGUGAUGGGGGCAGUUAGAGCAUUGUCUGAGAAUCUUGUUUCCAACUUUUCUUCUCUUCAGGGGUAGAAUUAAUGGUUCAUAGUGUAUGCGUGAAUAGAUAGCACCACACCAUGUUCCAGGUGGCUUUACCUUUUACCUUGCCAUGGCAGGCUUGGUAAUUCCUAUUAAUUAUCAUCUCUGUGGCCAUUAGUCACAUAUAUAUUUAUUUGUCAUUUGAAUGUUUUCUCCUUUGUGAAAUCUAUUUUUGAAACUUCUCAUCUGUGCUGUACUCUGUUGGCAUGUCUUUCUUCCCCCUAAAAAAUGAAUAACACUUCAUAUAUUCUGCACUAUAAACACUUUACUAAAAAUGUUAACUACAAACAUCUUUGACUUUCAACUUUGGAGACACACUAACUUAAAAUGACAAAAGUAGUUUUUUUUUUUUGUACUGGGGAUUAAACUCAGGGGCCCUUGACCACCAAGCCUCAUUCCCAGCCCUAAUUUGUAUUUUAUGUAGAGAUAGGGUCUCACUGAGUUGCUUAGCCCCUUGCUAUUUCUGAAGGCUGGCCUCCAACUCAUGAUCCUCCUUCCUCAGCCUUGUAAGAUGCUGGGAUUACAGGUGUGUGCUCAGAAAACUAACAAUAUUCAAGAUUUAUCAGUUGUUUAUGUACAAAAGAAAAUAAAUAUUCAAAUUGUAAAUUAAAAACAAUUCUAGUGACAAUUAUGUCAAAAACAAAAUACUUAGGAAUAUAUUUUAGAAAGUUGUGAAAACUUGAACAUUAAAAUAUAGAGUAUAUGGCUUGUUUUUAGAAGAUCUAGUAUCAUUCCUAAGUCCCUUCCUUCUUUUUGAGGGUUUUAAAUUUAUAGAAAGAGAACAGAAAUUGUGUUUUAUUUCUGUGGUACUAAGAAGUGGUCUUAAGUAUGCUUUACUCGUGAACUAUAUCACCAUCACUUAUUAUUUUAUUUUGAGGUAGGGCCUUGCUAAGUUACUGAGAAGGAACUCAAAAUUGUGAUCCUUCAUACUCAGCCUCCCAAGUAACUGGAAUUAUGUAUAUCUGCCACAAACGUGGCAGGGAUUUUGUUCUUGACUUUAAAAUUAUUACACAUUGGUUCAGAAUAAAAUUUAGGUAGUUCUUUUGCCAUUUUUAUGGCAGAAGAUGGAGGUCACAGAGAGAGGACAUGGCUUUCCACAUCUUUGGAACAGGAAUACCAAGUAUUAAUUCACCCUCUUCCCCUUAUUCAACAUUUAAAGUUUCCACAGAUAUUACAGAAUUGUUUGAGAAAGAUCAAGGGCUGUGAGGAAGGGGAACCAGUAUUUCAAAGUGUCUGGAAGAGUACUCUAAGAAACAGUGCUGAGCUACUGGGGUAUGAAGAAUAGAGUCCCUGAGAUUUAAUUGUAGAAGCCACAGAACAUAUAUAAGAAUGUAAACAAUGCAGUUGAUACAUUUUUAAAAGAUGAUCAUGGGUAGAACUUGGUCAGUUGUACUCAGUCUCCCACCCCAUCCACAUACCCACAAACAUCACACCCCUUUCACCUCACUUACAUCACACCUUGCUUAAAGAGAAAUAUGUGUGUUAGUGGUACUCUGCUGUUCACCAUGGGCAGAACUCUUUGCCUAGCCUGUGGUAGAAAUCAGAAUGGAUCACAAAGUUCAGGACCAUCUUUGUCUUUGCAUCUCCCCCGCCCUCUCUCUUACACACAAAUAACUGAAGAUUUUAAUUAUAAAUAUUUUGAUGGAUGAUAUGAAAUUGGGAGUAUUGGGCCAAAUAAUUGGAACUUUGAAAGUAUACAUGUGCAGAAAGAGUAUGAAUGACACAUUUCCUAUCACACUGAUGUUUUAUUUCAUUAUUUUCACAAAAGCAGUUUUUUUCUGUGUAAUGUAAUAUAAUGUACUGAACACUGCAAAAUUAGUUUAGUGUGUUACAGAUACAAAGAGAAUUAACAUUUUAUCUUGUUGUUUACUAAUAAAUUUAAAAGAGACAUAUAUUUUUUUCUCAUACUUUCGAUUGCUUCUUUUCAGUUUGAUAAAAUUGGGCCAAAGGACAGUUUCUUAUAUUUUAUUGCUGUUGCUUCUUUCCUUUUUUUGUAUAAAUUUAAGUUGUAUAACUGUGCUUAGUAUUACAUAUAAAGAGAAAUAUCAGUGAUAUAGCUGAGCAACUUAAUAAUCAGAAAGUGUAUUAUUAUAUAUUCAUACUGUGUAUGUCAGUGGUACUGGGUGUAUUAUCCAGACCUGAAUAGAAAUAAAAUCCUUUAAUGUUAAGGAAAAUAGAUGUAAUUGGAUGAUAUAUCACCUUUUUUUUUUUUUUUUUGUGGUGCCAGAGAUUGAACCCAGGGUCUUGUGCCUGCGAGGCAAACACUCUACCAACUGAGCUAUAUCCCCAGCCUUCAUCUCUUAUAUAUAAUAACUAAAAUAAAAUUUAUGUGAAAAUAGAAUAUUGAUUACUAUGGCUUGGGAGGGUGCUGGGGCAUCAAGGAUGGAAUAAGGGCAUAUGGAUAUUAUUAAUAACUGCAAAUGUAUGUAUGAAAAUAUCAUACUGCAUCCCAUUAAUAUGUACUCUUGAUAUGUUAAUAAAGUCCAUCAUCUCACAUAAUUACUUCAUAUCUAAAAUUUUAUUGUCUUUGGUAUUUUUGGUAUGUGAGGCAAUAUUGUUAACUAUAGUCCUUUAAUAUAUACUAUUCUCUUUCUAUGCAUUCAUCUUAUCUUUUUGGUUGGGGGUCGGGUUCCACACACAGAGUAUACAAUGUAUUUCUUUCUGUGUCUUUGAUAAUUUCACUUAACAUGAAUUUCUCCAGCUUCAUCCAUGUUAUUGUAAAUGGCAAUAAAAAAAUAAAUAAAUAAAAUUUUGGGGGUUUGAAUCCA
This is a non-coding RNA of Ictidomys tridecemlineatus (thirteen-lined ground squirrel), 3432 nucleotides long. Lineage: Eukaryota; Metazoa; Chordata; Mammalia; Rodentia; Sciuridae. The record is from RefSeq and is a predicted model, not a curated record.